RNAcentral lists this long non-coding RNA (351 nucleotides) under Brassica napus (rape). RNAcentral's name for it is "long non-coding RNA (BNAP_LNC007770)". The record is from RNAcentral. Lineage: Eukaryota; Viridiplantae; Streptophyta; Magnoliopsida; Brassicales; Brassicaceae.
UUCUUUUAGAAUAUUUGAUCAAUAUGCUCUUUUUUUAGAAUUUUUGAUCAACAUGUUCUAUUUUAAAAAAAAUUCUAAAAACUACUAUUUUAGGAAAGGCAUCAUUUUUGUAGAAAAAUAUUGUUGAUUUGGUAUUUUGAUUUAGAUAUUAGGAUUACAAGAGUUUUUGUUGAUAGAUGUGCGUUUUUUUUUUAGAAUUUUGAUCAUUAGAUUGUAUUUUUUAAAUAAAUUUUCUAAAAACUGUAUUUUAGGAAAGUUAUCAUUUUUGUAGAGAAAUAUUGUAGAUUUUGGAUUGUAAUUUAGAAAUUAGGAUAACAAGAGUUUUUGUUGAUAGAUGGACAUUCUUUUAGA